GACGAACGCUGGCGGCGUGCUUAACACAUGCAAGUCGAACGGAAAGGCCCUGCUUUUGUGGGGUGCUCGAGUGGCGAACGGGUGAGUAACACGUGAGUAACCUGCCCUUGACUUUGGGAUAACUUCAGGAAACUGGGGCUAAUACCGGAUAGGAUCUCCUGCUGCAUGGUGGGGGUUGGAAAGUUUCGGCGGUUGGGGAUGGACUCGCGGCUUAUCAGCUUGUUUGUGGGGUAGUGGCUGACCAAGGCUUUGACGGGUAGCCGGCAUGAGAGGGUGACCGGCCACCAUGGGACUGAGGUACGGCCCAGAAUCCUACGGGAGGCAGCAGUGGGGAACAUUGCACAAUGGGCGGAAGCCUGAUGUAGCAACGCCGCGUGCGGGAUGCCGGCCUUCGGGUUGUAAACAGCUUUCGCCUGUGCCGAAGCGUGAGUGACGGUAAUGGGUAAAGAAGCAACGGCUAACUACGUG
This 468-nucleotide ribosomal RNA is filed under the name uncultured bacterium. RNAcentral's name for it is "partial 16S ribosomal RNA". It matches the Rfam family "Bacterial small subunit ribosomal RNA", at positions 28 to 507 of the family's 1533-position model. The record is from RNAcentral.